UGCGGCUGCAGCUGAUCCUAACAGGCCUCUCUGGUUCCCAGGCAGCACUCCUCCUGAAUGGCUCGAUGGUAGCCUCCCCGGAGACUUCGGCUUCGAUCCUCUUGGUCUUGGUAAGAUAAAUGUAGAAAACUAAUCGUACGUCUCAAGUACGUGCACAUUGUUAAUUAGUUUGUUAUCCACAGGAUCUGAUCCUGAGACGCUGAGAUGGAACGUGCAAUCAGAAAUUGUGCACUGCAGAUGGGCAAUGUUAGGAGCUGCAGGAAUUUUCAUUCCGGAAUUGUUAACAAAACUUGGAAUCCUCAACACUCCAUCCUGGUACACAGCUGGGGAGCUAGAGUACUUCACAGACACCACCACCCUGUUCAUUGUUGAGAUGAUAUUCAUAGGCUGGGCAGAGGGCAGACGGUGGGCCGACAUUAUAAAGCCAGGCUGUGUGAACACUGACCCGAUCUUCCCCAACAACAAGCUCACCGGCACCGAUGUUGGGUACCCAGGUGGGCUUUGGUUUGACCCACUUGGCUGGGGAUCCGGUUCGCCCGAGAAGGUAAAGGAGCUGAGGACUAAGGAGAUCAAGAAUGGAAGAUUGGCUAUGUUGGCUGUGAUGGGUGCUUGGUUCCAGCACAUUUACACCGGCACCGGCCCCAUUGACAAUCUCAUUGCUCACCUUGCUGAUCCUGGUCAUGCCACCGUUUUUGCUG
Molecule: long non-coding RNA, 698 nt
Filed under: Citrus sinensis (sweet orange)
Lineage: Eukaryota; Viridiplantae; Streptophyta; Magnoliopsida; Sapindales; Rutaceae
Description: long non-coding RNA (CSIN_LNC002886)
Source: RNAcentral